AUCGAAGUGGUCAUAACGAGGCGGUCUUGAAAACCGUUUGUCCGAAAGGGCGCGUGGGUUCGAAUCCCACC
RNAcentral lists this transfer RNA (71 nucleotides) under Eubacterium sp. Its description in RNAcentral is "tRNA-Ser". It matches the Rfam family "tRNA", at positions 9 to 64 of the family's 71-position model. From Rfam's summary of the family: Transfer RNA (tRNA) molecules are approximately 80 nucleotides in length. Their secondary structure includes four short double-helical elements and three loops (D, anti-codon, and T loops). The record is from RNAcentral. Lineage: Bacteria; Bacillati; Bacillota; Clostridia; Eubacteriales; Eubacteriaceae. RNAcentral also lists the same sequence under 1 other name.